CAACCGAGUUCAGAGAAGGUCUGACUGUGCCUUGUCUACUACAUAUCUAAUAUAUUUAUCUUGAUAUUGCAGAAGCUUUUGUUUUAUUCUUGUAUCUAAUGCUUGAUCUGUUGUAUAGGUUGAUAUAGGUCUUGCAAUGGGCAUGUCAGGGACAGAAGUUGCUAAAGAAAGCUCCGACAUUAUAAUCUUGGAUGAUGACUUCACAUCUGUUGUGAAGGUUAUAGGGUUUGUACAUGGCGAUGUUACUGAACAGAAGGAGGUAAUUUCUUCGCUCUUUCUAUUGAUUAAUAUUGUUCUUCACUCUUUCUAAACUAUUGAAUUUAUUAAUAUUAUUCUUGCCUAACCCAACAAAACUUUGGUAUGCACUCACGUAUAAUCAGGGCUUGCUUAUUUUAAUUCUUGAAUUCAUUUUAUAAAUAUUAUAUCAUUAUUAUUUGUAAUGAGUUUUUCGUUUAUGAUUUCCAAUUGGGUAAUAUCCCAUCAUACUACUAGGCAUUGGCCAGGUACUAGACUUUGCCUGGUUGUCAAUAUAAGCUUUGUGUUCUCCUUUGUUUUUGCCUCAUUUAUAAAGUCCUUGAUUAAGCAUGCAUUUGAUUUCUAUGCCAACAUUGAUCUUAUUGCUCAUCAAAGGUAUCUAAAAGUUGUGUGCUUUGCAACAGAUGGGUUGUUUUAGUCAAUAGAAAUACCUCAUAUGUCAGUUUUGUUGCCAAAUAUUGUAAACACAGAUAUAUACAGAGUUCCUAGAACAAAAGAUGAUCUGGUGGUUACCUUUUUGUUAUCUACUCGAAUGACUGUACGUAUAUCUUACCUUCAGACUUUAUCCAAUCUUGGUUAAUUUUCCAUCUCCAAUCAGAUUAAUGGUUUGCAUGCAGACCAAGCCCAGUGUUUUAUGGUGUUCUUAUUCCUGAUUUAGUUAUACAUUUGACUUUUAGUUUCGAUGUGUUAUCCGUACCCCUUCUUUUUGUGGCUAAUUAUUAUGUCCUAUCAACAUAUGCAUAGUCCAUGGUAUCAUACGAAUUGAAGUUGAAAAAUCAUGCUAUGGGUGAUACGGAAAAGUCAUUGGCUUCUUUGCUGGAACAUUUCCUAAGAUGAUCUAAGGUGAAGCAGUUAUGAAUAUCCUCGCUGAUCUAUGGAUCUAUCAUUGUAAGAGUCGACGAUAUAUGGUGAGGUGCCUCACACCAUCAUUUGGUCUUUGUAGCAUUUGAGUUGGCAAAUUUGUUGGAUUCGUGCGAUCAGGCAUGCCAUGUAAAUCAAUCUACUAUGGGAAAUGGGAGUUUGUAAACUAUCGGCGUCUAAUUGCUGAGGGACGAGGUUUGUAACUGAGGGUCAAGUGCAGAGCUGGAGGAAGAAGUUGCGAGGCAUGGAGCUCAGGGACAACAGUGAGGACAAUGCCUCUUUAGUUGUAAUUGUGAUACUCCUGAUGUGAAAGUAAACACCCCUGUGAUACUCCUUAUGAUAAAAUGUUGGUUGUUAGUA
Molecule: non-coding RNA, 1476 nt
Organism: Aegilops tauschii subsp. strangulata
Lineage: Eukaryota; Viridiplantae; Streptophyta; Magnoliopsida; Poales; Poaceae
Source: RefSeq, a predicted model, not a curated record